CGAAAUGCGAUAAGUAAUGUGAAUUNCAGAAUUCAGUGAAUCAUCGAAUCUUUGAACGCACAUUGCG
RNAcentral lists this ribosomal RNA (67 nucleotides) under uncultured Ascomycota. RNAcentral's name for it is "partial 5.8S ribosomal RNA". It matches the Rfam family "5.8S ribosomal RNA", at positions 49 to 115 of the family's 154-position model. Rfam says of the family: 5.8S ribosomal RNA (5.8S rRNA) is a component of the large subunit of the eukaryotic ribosome. It is transcribed by RNA polymerase I as part of the 45S precursor that also contains 18S and 28S rRNA. Functionally, it is thought that 5.8S rRNA may be involved in ribosome translocation. The record is from RNAcentral. Lineage: Eukaryota; Fungi; Ascomycota.